RNAcentral lists this ribosomal RNA (458 nucleotides) under uncultured bacterium. RNAcentral's name for it is "SSU rRNA". It matches the Rfam family "Bacterial small subunit ribosomal RNA", at positions 26 to 518 of the family's 1533-position model. The record is from RNAcentral.
AGAAUCAACGCUGGCGGCGUGCCUAACACAUGCAAGUCGCACGAGAAAGGGACUUCGGUCCUGAGUAAAGUGGCGCACGGGUGAGUAACACGUGAAUCAUCUACCUCCGAGUGGGGAAUAACCUAGAGAAAUCUGGGCUAAUACCGCAUAACACUUACGAGUCAAAGCAGCAAUGCGCUUGGAGAGGAGUUCGCGGCAGAUUAGUUAGUUGGCGGGGUAAUGGCCCACCAAGACGAUGAUCUGUAUCCGGCCUGAGAGGGCGCACGGACACACUGGAACUGAAACACGGUCCAGACUCCUACGGGAGGCAGCAGUGGGGAAUUUUGCGCAAUGGGGAAACCCUGACGCAGCAACGCCGCGUGGAGGAUGAAAUAUCUUGGUAUGUAAACUCCUUUCGAUGGGGAAGAUAAUGACGGUACCCAUAGAAGAAGCCCGGCUAACUUCGUGCCAGCAGCCGC